CUCCUACGGGAGCAGCAGUGGGAAUAUUGCGCAAUGGGCGAAAGCCUGACGGCUAGCGACGCCGCGGUACGGGUGAUGAAGGCCUUACGGGUUGUAAAGCCCUGUGGGAGAGAAGAAGUAAGUACGGUGUAAUAUCCGGCUGGAGUGACGGUACCUUCAGAAGACGGCCCGGCUAACUACGUGCCAGCCGCCGCGGUAAUAC
RNAcentral lists this ribosomal RNA (202 nucleotides) under uncultured bacterium. RNAcentral's name for it is "partial 16S ribosomal RNA". It matches the Rfam family "Bacterial small subunit ribosomal RNA", at positions 336 to 526 of the family's 1533-position model. The record is from RNAcentral.